AAAAAAAAAAAAAACAAACAACAAACAUUUUUUUUAAAGGCAGCUGAACAGAAGCAGAGUGAAGAAAACAGGUCUAAGAGUUGCAUAGUGAUAACACUUCAUAUAUGUUCGUGCGAAGCUUGACUCUCAAACAGGUGGAAUGCUCCAAGGCUCCGUGGGAUCUUCCAGGGCACUACAAUACAACAGUACCCCCAGCCACUCUGAGCCUUAGCUAACCUUAGCUCAAGUGACUAUGCUAAGGUACUUCUGGAUCAAAUAAGCAAAAAUAAAAUUAUUACAGGUAUGUGCCCAAGGGAAGGAAACCAGCAUGGUUAUGAGACAUUUACUGCCCAUGUAAAAUGAAGCAUGGUUCACAGCAGCCAGAUAUGGAAACAACCUAGGUGUCUGUUGAUUAGUGAACGGAUGCAGAAAAUGUGGAGUAUAUACUUAUAUGUGUAAAGGAAUACUAUUAAGUCAAAAAGAAGAAAAUCUUACCAUUUGACACAACAUGUAUGAACCUGGAGGACGUUAUGCUGAGUGAAAUAAACCAACACAAAAAAAACC
Long non-coding RNA from Marmota flaviventris (yellow-bellied marmot), 543 nucleotides. RefSeq lists it as uncharacterized. The record is from RefSeq and is a predicted model, not a curated record. Lineage: Eukaryota; Metazoa; Chordata; Mammalia; Rodentia; Sciuridae.